This 253-nucleotide ribosomal RNA is filed under the name uncultured bacterium. RNAcentral describes it as "partial 16S ribosomal RNA". It matches the Rfam family "Bacterial small subunit ribosomal RNA", at positions 524 to 776 of the family's 1533-position model. The record is from RNAcentral.
UACGAAGGGGGCUAGCGUUGCUCGGAUUUACUGGGCGUAAAGGGCGCGUAGGCGGGUGUCUAAGUCAGAGGUGAAAGCCCAGGGCUCAACCCUGGAAUUGCCUUUGAUACUGGACGUCUUGAGUACGGGAGAGGUGAGUGGAACUCCGAGUGUAGAGGUGAAAUUCGUAGAUAUUCGGAAGAACACCAGUGGCGAAGGCGACUCACUGGCCCGUUACUGACGCUGAGGCGCGAAAGCGUGGGGAGCAAACAGG